UUUAGGGUAGAUUAUCAUCACUGGAGGUUCUUUGGAGGAAGAAAAAAUGAAAUUGAAAUGUGAUCUGAACAUUAGUCUUCACAAUCAAGUUCCAUCUUUGUACCACUGGACAAGACCAUCAGUCCUCGAUACUUCGCAUGACAGAACAAGCUGUUCUUUUUCCACAACACUCUUGAAAAGGUCCUCCUCCGGGAUAUCAGCAAAUGUUACCGGUGGUGCUACACAAAACGGUACACAAAAGAAAUAUCGCUGAAAUCUGAAUCAUCAUCAUCAUCAUCAUCAUCAUCAUCAUCAGUUUUACAACUGUACACCCCAGAGUAUGAAGAUGUGGCCGACUUCAUGACCAGUGUCCUCUUAUUGCCCUCUGAAUCGAUUUUUAUUCCCGAUUUUGGCAAGAUUAUUCCAUCCUCAUAGCAGCAGGUCUGGCUUGCCAGGUCUGAGAUCUCACAAUGAAGUUUGAUCACGCUGCCUGCUUCAACAGACUUGUUCCUCUCAGCCUCUGGAACAGCUGAGAAUCAAACCGGUGCUAUAGGAAUUUCAAUUCAUUGAACAGUAACCAGAUAGUAAUCAGAUUUGCUAUGCUAUACUAUGUAACGUACAUGGAUUUACAGGCUAAAGGCUGUAAAAUCUGAUAUUUGGCUCCAGAUUGAACAGAUGGUUCAAGAGUUGUUUGGUUUGUGCCUACAGAGGUUGACAGUGAGAUCACUCAGUUACUUUAACAUUGCUAGUUAGUAGGCUCAUAUACAAUCAGUGAGACAGUAUCAUGGAACAUGAAUCAUUCUAAUUUCAAAUGACUGGUUUUAACUUUGUUCAAGUUCACUUGGCAGCAUGUAAAUGGCAAAACAUGGUUUAUUUUGUUUGCUUUCUGUUUAUCUGCAGGUUUGUCUGUUUGUUUAUAAAUUUUUGGUUAAUACAGAGCAUGUAGAUCAAUAAUGGCCUUUCAGAAAAGUAGGUCUGCAGCAUCUACAAUUCAUCCUUCAGAGGUCUCACCAGAGUCACACAGUGAAAAGCACAACAGUCUGCGCUGCAUACUGGAUUAAGUGGCAGAGUUUGACAUGGUCAGAAACUGGGAGUAAUGUGGGCACAACUACUUCCAUAACUGCUGGACUUGGCUGAAAAAGCUGUAAACACAACACUGACAUAGUAUUACCCCUUAAAGCUGUUGCAAACAUUUUGCCUAAGUACACAUCCAGCAGACAGAGCAAAUGUAGCAUUCAUUUAGAGUUGUAUUUGUGUCCUUUUUAUACAAAACUCGAGUCCAAUAUUCACCCUCUUUUUACUCCUGUUCUGGUCUGCACUAACUCCUGAAGUAAAUAUCUGGCACUUUAGAUGCUAAAUGCUUCGGUAUGUUCACCACCUAGACGCUAACUUUGACUGUCUGUUUUUCACUGUUGGCAGGUAGUGUACUGUCUACUUAUCUGAGCUUUUUGGCUCAAAACAGUUCCCUGCUACGGAAACCAUAAAACCAAGCUGAAAAAACACUAAAACAUCACGUCAGAUGAUAAUUAUCUGUGGUUGGUUCCAACAAGUGACACCUUUCACAAAUUUGAUCCAUUGUCAAUAUACAAAUAUUAAGAAGUUUUAAGCCUGAAAGGGCCUUUUUAAGUAUUUUCUUCCUAGGGCGAGAAUGACAUUGAGCUGCAUAUCACUGCUGGUACAUAAUAAUUAUUCAUUUUCAAUAAUCUUUGAUCCCUUAUGUAUUUAUCCAUGCUCAAAUUUAAACUUUCAAAACAUUAAAUUGUCUAUAAUGGUCUAUAUGUCCACCAGAAUCAUAAAAUGUACAUAAUUAAGUAUUAGUACACAUUAUCUUAGAAUAUUGUAACAUAAAAUUUUGGAAGCCUGAGUUGUUCUAGUAGCCAAGCAUUCAUUGAAAGACGUUAGUGAGUCUGACAAAGCUCAAAAUACUU
Molecule: long non-coding RNA, 1907 nt
Organism: Seriola aureovittata
Lineage: Eukaryota; Metazoa; Chordata; Actinopteri; Carangiformes; Carangidae
Exons: 3
Source: RefSeq, a predicted model, not a curated record